This 325-nucleotide ribosomal RNA is filed under the name Klebsiella pneumoniae. Its description in RNAcentral is "bacterial SSU rRNA". It matches the Rfam family "Bacterial small subunit ribosomal RNA", at positions 202 to 509 of the family's 1533-position model. Lineage: Bacteria; Pseudomonadati; Pseudomonadota; Gammaproteobacteria; Enterobacterales; Enterobacteriaceae. The record is from RNAcentral.
CAAAGUGGGGGACCUUCGGGCCUCAUGCCAUCAGAUGUGCCCAGAUGGGAUUAGCUAGUAGGUGGGGUAACGGCUCACCUAGGCGACGAUCCCUAGCUGGUCUGAGAGGAUGACCAGCCACACUGGAACUGAGACACGGUCCAGACUCCUACGGGAGGCAGCAGUGGGGAAUAUUGCACAAUGGGCGCAAGCCUGAUGCAGCCAUGCCGCGUGUGUGAAGAAGGCCUCGGGUUGUAAAGCACUUUCAGCGGGGAGGAAGGCGGUGAGGUUAAUAACCUCACCGAUUGACGUUACCCGCAGAAGAAGCACCGGCUAACUCCGUGCC